AUGAAUGCAUCACCUUUCAAAACCCUAGUGUGGAAUGUGAGGGGCCUUAAUAGCCCGGCGCGUCGAAGUGCAAUCUAUCAGGUGGUUAGCUCGGUUGCGCCGAGCAUUGUGUGUCUCCAGGAGACAAAAAUGGAACUUGUAACGACAGAGGUGGUCGCCCACUGUCUUGGAAAUAAACUCGAGAGCUUCUACUACCUGCUCGCGCGAGGAACGAGGGGCGGCAUUCUCCUUGCUUGGGAUGCUACCGUGGUGAAACUUUCCAACCCGCACUACGCGACGAAUGCGCUCACCGCGCUAGUCACGCACAUUGGUGGCUCACAAUGGUGGAUGACAGGAGUAUACGGCCCACAGCAAGAUCAAGACAAAGUGGAAUUCAUGCAAGAAUUGGUGGACAUUCGCGAGCUGACAGCCGGACCAUGGACUGUGAUGGGGGAUUUCAACCUAUUGGUUAACCCAGAGGACAAAAACAACACACUUGUGAACAGACGAAUGAUGGCGCGGUUCCGUGCAAAGCUUAAUAACCUCAAACUCAAAGAGGUUUAUUUGAACGGGCGGAGAUACACUUGGUCUAAUGAGCGGACACAAACGACAAUGGAGAAGAUUGACCGUGUCUUCACCACGGCAACUUGGGAGGAGCUUUACCCGACCUGUCAGCUCACAGCACUAGGCUCCUCAAUCUCUGACCACUGUCCAUUGCUACUGGACCUAGAGGCCGAGCUGCACAUGGGCAAGCGCUUCAAGUUUGAGGCUUUCUGGACAAGAGCCGAGGGAUUCAUGCAAAAGGUGGAGGAGUUGUGGAACUCUGUGCGUAGAGAAGAAAGCCCCUAUGUUACCCUUGAUCUCAAGCUGCGAGCCACGACAAAGGGCGUGAAGAAGUGGAGCGACAGGUGGAUAGGCAACGUUAAACUGCAAAUUGGAAUUGCCAUGGGGGUAAUCGCUCGCCUGGAUGCAGCAAUGGACACAAGAACACUCUCGCCACAAGAAUGA
This 987-nucleotide ribosomal RNA is filed under the name Triticum aestivum (bread wheat). RNAcentral's name for it is "partial small subunit ribosomal RNA". The record is from RNAcentral. Lineage: Eukaryota; Viridiplantae; Streptophyta; Magnoliopsida; Poales; Poaceae.